Non-coding RNA from Acanthosepion pharaonis, 89 nucleotides. The record is from the annotation of a GenBank genome assembly. NCBI's taxonomy places the organism in Eukaryota, Metazoa, Mollusca, Cephalopoda, Sepiida, Sepiidae.
CCCGUUCCCGUACAAUCACCGAAGUUAAGCAACGUCCAACCUGGUCAGUACCUAGAUGGGUAACCGCUUGGGAAUACUAGGUGCUGUAA